RNAcentral lists this ribosomal RNA (1394 nucleotides) under uncultured Chloroflexota bacterium. RNAcentral's name for it is "bacterial SSU rRNA". The stretch from base 544 to 1394 matches the Rfam family "Bacterial small subunit ribosomal RNA", at positions 1 to 1050 of the family's 1533-position model. Lineage: Bacteria; Bacillati; Chloroflexota. The record is from RNAcentral.
CCUACGGGGGGCGGCAGUAGGGAAUAUUAGUAAUGGGCGAAAGCCUGAACUAGCAACGCCGCGUGUGCGAAGAAGGCCUUCGGGUUGUAAAGCACUUUUUGAGAGGAUGAGGAAGGACGGUACUCUCAGAAUAAGUCUCGGCUAACUACGUGCCAGCAGCCGCGGCAACACGUAGGAGGCGAACGUUAUCCGGAUUUACUGGGCGUAAAGCGCGUGUAGGUGGUUUGGUAAGUAGGGCGUGAAAGCUCCUGGCUCAACUGGGAGAGGCCGUUCUAAACUGCCGAACUAGAGGAUGGUAGAGGGAGGUGGAAUUCCGGGUGUAGCGGUGGAAUGCGCAGAUAUCCGGAGGAACACCAGUGGCGAAAGCGGCCUCCUGGACCACUCCUGACACUCAGACGCGAAAACUAGGGUAGCAAACGGGAUUAGAGACCCCGGUAGUCCUAGCCCUAAACGAUGUAGACUUGGCGUCGGUGGUUUAAACGCCAUCGGUGUCGAAGCUAACGCGAUAAGUCUACCGCCUGGGGACUACGGCCGCAAGGUUAAAACUCAAAGGAAUUGACGGGUCCCCGCACAAGCAGCGGAGCGUGUGGUUUAAUUCGUUGCUACACGAAGAACCUUACCUGGGUUUGACAUAGAGGUGGUAGGGAAGCGAAAGCGGACCGACCCUUCGGGGAGCCUCUACAGGUGUUGCAUGGCUCCUACGGGGGGCGGCAGUAGGGAAUAUUAGUAAUGGGCGAAAGCCUGAACUAGCAACGCCGCGUGUGCGAAGAAGGCCUUCGGGUUGUAAAGCACUUUUUGAGAGGAUGAGGAAGGACGGUACUCUCAGAAUAAGUCUCGGCUAACUACGUGCCAGCAGCCGCGGCAACACGUAGGAGGCGAACGUUAUCCGGAUUUACUGGGCGUAAAGCGCGUGUAGGUGGUUUGGUAAGUAGGGCGUGAAAGCUCCUGGCUCAACUGGGAGAGGCCGUUCUAAACUGCCGAACUAGAGGAUGGUAGAGGGAGGUGGAAUUCCGGGUGUAGCGGUGGAAUGCGCAGAUAUCCGGAGGAACACCAGUGGCGAAAGCGGCCUCCUGGACCACUCCUGACACUCAGACGCGAAAACUAGGGUAGCAAACGGGAUUAGAGACCCCGGUAGUCCUAGCCCUAAACGAUGUAGACUUGGCGUCGGUGGUUUAAACGCCAUCGGUGUCGAAGCUAACGCGAUAAGUCUACCGCCUGGGGACUACGGCCGCAAGGUUAAAACUCAAAGGAAUUGACGGGUCCCCGCACAAGCAGCGGAGCGUGUGGUUUAAUUCGUUGCUACACGAAGAACCUUACCUGGGUUUGACAUAGAGGUGGUAGGGAAGCGAAAGCGGACCGACCCUUCGGGGAGCCUCUACAGGUGUUGCAUGGCU